This is a long non-coding RNA of Eucalyptus grandis, 397 nucleotides long. RefSeq lists it as uncharacterized. The transcript is spliced from 2 exons. NCBI's taxonomy places the organism in Eukaryota, Viridiplantae, Streptophyta, Magnoliopsida, Myrtales, Myrtaceae. The record is from RefSeq and is a predicted model, not a curated record.
CCAAAAGUCCAAAUGACCAAAACCCUAAUUUGUUUCUACUCUCACGCUCUCACACCCGCAAACUUUCCCGAGCAGCAGACCCUCUCUCUCGAGCGGGCUCGGCGAGUCAGUCCUGCCCAAUUCAGAUAUGGGAUGAGGAUUUCGUGGACGCCUUGCUUACUGGUAGCCCCUUUCUCUGAAAGAAUGAAGAGCUCCAAGUUCGAUCUCCAUACAUAUGACUAUGGACUUGCUUCUUUCUAUUUCUGUCGUUUGAAUUGGGACAAUCCUGUUAUUUCUGACAUUAGAAUGACCUGAUUUUGUAUUUGGAGAUGAUAUACUGACCUGAUUUUGUAUUUGGAGAUGAAAUACAUGUUUGGAUGCAAGAUGGUCGAAUUAUAUACUCGGUUGUUUUCUUCAA